AGAAAGAGUCGGAUCUAUGGAGGUUGUAGCCACGGCCUCGGCCACAGCUUCGGGAAUCCCAAGCCAGACCAAUGGGCCUUGGAGCCCAAAGCACCAAAGCCACCAAAAGCAACGUUCGCCAACCUCUGUCACCCGGAGGUCGGGAGCCUCGGUGGCUGCCGCCGCGCCGUUACUCCCGGGUGACUUUGCGAAACGCACAGAUGGGGACGCCUCCGGCCCGGCACGCAGGGCCGGCUGAUGGAUCGUCUCAUUUCCCGACUUGAUGGGCCGGAACCUGGGGUGGCGGGGCUGGGGGAGGGGGCCGUCCGCGUCGGGACCCAGCCGGAUGGCCGCGUGGGCCGGGUGGGAGGCUCUGGCCGCCGGAUUUGGGUUGGGGGAUGAGGGUGCGACAAACAGAUCUUAGAGAAAAACCUCGAAUCCCCCCCCCCGCCCCGCCCCCUCUGUCUCCAUCCCCAACACGAAGUUAUCCCUUCCUCUUUUUUCUGUUUUGGGCACAGGCGCCGCGUCCCGGGUCUCCGGGGACAGCGUGACUGUGAGUGCGGUGGCGGCUCUCCGGGGCUCCUGGCCCCGCCUCCUUCCUUGGGCGUCCGCGUCCGCCUGCACCGCGCUGUUGGCAUCCUUUCCUGCGGGUGGCUGCAGGAGGGCAGGACUCAGGAAGGACCCUGUGGGGGAAGGGUGUGAAAGCCGCAGGGGGUGAGGGAAAGCUUUCAUUCCGGGUCCAUCUAAAGUCCAAUUCUGGCCUCGGACUGGGAAUUUUGGAGAGAGACAGAGGGGCAGGGGUGGAGAGUCAGGGUAGCGGCGAGGGGUGUUGUAGAAGGGAAAAUGCACACCGAGCAGCUUGCAUCCCGGCUGUCCUACCCUCCAGGGAGACCUAGAAAGACAGGAGCCUCGGGGAGAGACAAAGUAGGCGGUCCCUGUCCGCGCACCUCUUCCAAGGUUCAGACAGGCCAGGCGCGUGAGGAAGCAGGAGCGAGGGGAGAACGCGAGGCUGCGCUUAGGCGAGCUUGCCAGAAUUUCCCCCAGGUCUCAGGAGCAGGAACUCCCGGCUGUGCUCCAGGUGUUCAUCCCAGGGCCUCAGGCCUGCCAUGAGGAAUCCCCGUUCUGGGCGUGCAUUUGGGUUCGGUAACCUGCCCUACUCCCCUCCUGCUGGACAGUGGACCACUCUGAAGGCCCCUCUGGCCAGGAACCUGCCACAAGGGUCAGGGCAUCCAGCUAGUGCACUGCCCCAAUACUAAAGUGUGGUCUGUGGACCCUUAGCAUCUCCCCCACCUGGCUGCUGCACAAGCUCCGGCCUCACCUACCGCACUGCAGCAGAACCUGCGUGUGAAAAGGUUACCUAGGGGACUUGUACACCUCUGCAGCUGGAGAAGCCCUGGCCUAAUUUCCAGAGCCCGAGUUGACUCCUGCUGACUCCACACAGUGUGUCUCCCGCUUCAUCUUCAUCAUCCGUCCAGUGAGAGGUGUUUCUGAGGUCCCAGGGCAGCUCUGCAGCAACCCCUGAAACCACUCCACCCCAAGGAAAUGAAAAUCACUAGUUAGUGGAGCCUGGCAGGAAUGCAGUUUUAAGGGUCCCCAAAUGAUUCUAAUAGCCAGGAAGAACUAGUAGAGAAUUAACUCCCUUUGCAGAUCAGCUGAGAUAUGCCCUGGAGCCUACACAAUACUGUGAGUACAAUGCUUCAGACCCCUGGGCUCUAUAGCCAGAUUCACUCUGGCCCCAGCAGAUGUGGCCUUGAGCGGGCUAAUGAGCCUUGCUGUGCCUCCUUUUCCUUACCUGUAAAAUGGAGUUGAUAAUAAUGCUCUACCACAAAGAGCGGGGUUCGGGUUUAGAACCAAACAUUUAGAAUCAAUUUCAAUAAAUCUUAGUUUAUAAUGCCAAA
Molecule: long non-coding RNA, 1877 nt
Organism: Herpailurus yagouaroundi (jaguarundi)
Lineage: Eukaryota; Metazoa; Chordata; Mammalia; Carnivora; Felidae
Exons: 2
Source: RefSeq, a predicted model, not a curated record